RNAcentral lists this ribosomal RNA (260 nucleotides) under uncultured prokaryote. Its description in RNAcentral is "partial 16S ribosomal RNA". It matches the Rfam family "Bacterial small subunit ribosomal RNA", at positions 524 to 782 of the family's 1533-position model. The record is from RNAcentral.
UACGUAGGUGGCGAGCGUUGUCCGGAUUUAUUGGGCGUAAAGCGAGCGCAGGUGGUUUCUUAAGUCUGAUGUGAAAGCCCACGGCUCAACCGUGGAAGGUCAUUGGAAACUGGGGAACUUGAAUGCAGAAGAGGAGAGUGGAAUUCCAUGUGUAGCGGUGAAAUGCGUAGAUAUAUGGAGGAACACCAGUGGCGAAGGCGACUCUCUGGUCUGUUAUUGACACUGAGGCUCGAAAGCGUGGGGAGGCAAACAGGAUUAGA